This 94-nucleotide transfer RNA is filed under the name Marmoricola endophyticus. Its description in RNAcentral is "tRNA-Val". Lineage: Bacteria; Bacillati; Actinomycetota; Actinomycetes; Propionibacteriales; Nocardioidaceae. The record is from RNAcentral.
CGCGACGGUGGUCCGCUGGCCCGGGGGCGUGCGCGUCGACCACGCGCUCGGGUCCGGGCAGGAGGUCAGCACCGGGUUCGACCCGAUGCUGGGC